GUCCCUGUAGCGUAAUGAAUAGCGCGUUGGACUUCUAAUUCAAAGGUCAUGGGUUCGAAUUCCAUCUGGAAUG
This 73-nucleotide transfer RNA is filed under the name Trichonephila inaurata madagascariensis. It matches the Rfam family "tRNA". From Rfam's summary of the family: Transfer RNA (tRNA) molecules are approximately 80 nucleotides in length. The record is from Rfam by way of RNAcentral. Lineage: Eukaryota; Metazoa; Arthropoda; Arachnida; Araneae; Nephilidae.